This 72-nucleotide transfer RNA is filed under the name Bos taurus (domestic cattle). It matches the Rfam family "tRNA". Rfam says of the family: Transfer RNA (tRNA) molecules are approximately 80 nucleotides in length. Lineage: Eukaryota; Metazoa; Chordata; Mammalia; Artiodactyla; Bovidae. RNAcentral also lists the same sequence under 2 other names. The record is from Rfam by way of RNAcentral.
UUCCUAGUGGCUCAGACGGUAAAGCAUCUGCCUGCAAUGCAGGAGACCCGGAUUCAAUUCCUGGGUUGGGAA